This 253-nucleotide ribosomal RNA is filed under the name uncultured bacterium. RNAcentral's name for it is "partial 16S ribosomal RNA". It matches the Rfam family "Bacterial small subunit ribosomal RNA", at positions 524 to 776 of the family's 1533-position model. The record is from RNAcentral.
GACAGAGGGUGCGAACGUUGUUCGGAAUUACUGGGCGUAAAGCGCAUGUAGGCGGCAGCGCAAGUCGGGCGUGAAAUCCCACGGCUCAACCGUGGAAGUGCACUCGAAACUGCGCAGCUAGAGUCCUGGAGAGGAAGGUGGAAUGCUUGGUGUAGAGGUGAAAUUCGUAGAUAUCAAGCGGAACACCGGUGGCGAAGGCGGCCUUCUGGACAGUGUCUGACGCUGAGAUGCGAAAGCGUGGGGAGCAAACAGG